UACUAGAGUAGCACUCGCAUAUCAAUAAGCGGAGGAAAAGAAACUAACAAGGAUUCCCCUAGUAACGGCGAGUGAAGCGGGAAGAGCUCAAAUUUGAAAUCUUAAAGGGUUUCCCUUUACGAAUUGUAGUUUAAAGAAGUGUUUUCUGUUGAGGUUUUGGUAAAAGUUCUUUGGAAUAGGACAUCAUAGAGGGUGAGGAUCCCGUAUUUGACCUUUACUUUCAACUUUGUGAUACACUUUCAAAGGGUCGGAUUGUUUGGGAAUGCAGUCCAAAAUGGGUGGUAAAUUUUAUCUAAAGCUAAAUAUUGGCGAGAGACCGAUAGCGAACAAGUACCGUGAGGGAAAGAUGAAAAGAACUUUGAAAAGAGAGUUAAACAGUACGUGAAAUUGUCAAAAGGGAAGCGUUUGACACCAGUGUUGUUUUUCUGAAAAUCAAUUAAAGAACUGUUUAUGCUAAGUUGUUUAGACUUUAUCAGCUAACUGUUUAGUUUUGAGCUUUUCUUUAAUGCACUUUUCAGUUAACAAGUCAACAUCAAUUUCUUUUGCUGUAAAAAAGCUUGAGGAAGGUGGCUUGAGAUUCGUCUUAAGUGUUUAUAGCCUCUUGCCUAUGCAGUCGGAGAGAUUGAGGUCUGCAGCGUAGAUCCUUCGGGGCUAAAUGCAUUUGUGCUAAGUUAUAGCAUUUUAUAGACAACUUGUUGACUAUGAUUUGUCUUGUAGCUUACUCGCUUAUGUUAUUUUACCUACGCUUAGGAUGUUGAGCGCAUGUCUCUCUCU
RNAcentral lists this ribosomal RNA (774 nucleotides) under uncultured Neocallimastigales. RNAcentral's name for it is "partial large subunit ribosomal RNA". It matches the Rfam family "Eukaryotic large subunit ribosomal RNA", at positions 20 to 616 of the family's 3401-position model. Lineage: Eukaryota; Fungi; Neocallimastigomycota; Neocallimastigomycetes; Neocallimastigales. The record is from RNAcentral.